UCCAGACUCCUACGGGAGGCAGCAGUGGGGAAUAUUGGGCAAUGGGCGCAAGCCUGACCCAGCAACGCCGCGUGAAGGAAGAAGGCCCUCGGGUUGUAAACUUCUUUUGUCAGGGACGAAGAAAGUGACGGUACCUGACGAAUAAGCCACGGCUAACUACGUGCCAGCAGCCGCGGUAAUACGUAGGUGGCAAGCGUUGUCCGGAUUUACUGGGUGUAAAGGGCGUGCAGCCGGGCUGACAAGUCAGAUGUGAAAUCCGUGGGCUUAACCCGCGAACUGCAUUUGAAACUAUUGGUCUUGAGUGCCGGAGAGGUAAUCGGAAUUCCUUGUGUAGCGGUGAAAUGCGUAGAUAUAAGGAAGAACACCAGUGGCGAAGGCGGAUUACUGGACGGUAACUGACGGUGAGGCGCGAAAGCGUGGGGAGCAAACAGGAUUAGAUACCCUUGUA
Molecule: ribosomal RNA, 448 nt
Filed under: uncultured bacterium
Lineage: Bacteria
Description: partial 16S ribosomal RNA
Rfam family: Bacterial small subunit ribosomal RNA
Source: RNAcentral